CAAUGAUGCAGCCAUCUAUUAAGAAUAAUUUUUUGUGCCUUCAUAUCAUCGCAUCUCAAGGUUGCGAUCAGUAAAGCAAAAAAGUAAGACAUUUUUGUAUUUUUUUUUCUUCCGAAUGUGCCAUUUUGUCAAAUAUAAAAAAAUAUAAAAAAAAAAUCUCCAUAAUACACCACCUAUACAAAUGUACUAGUAUUAUUCAUCUUUAAAAUAUCCUUAGUAAACUUGAAGCAUAUAUUUGUUAUUAUUUGAUGAACUUAUAUUAUUUCCCCUAUCCCUUUUUUAUUUAUAUAUAUAACUAUUUCCUUUGUCCUUGAAUGCCAACACCCUUAUAAAGUGGUGUAUCAUGAGAUCUAAUGGAGGUGAAUGAAAUUAAAGCAACACAAUAAAAGUCAAUAUGGCUUUUACAAUGAAGACGAAAAAUACGCCAUAAAUGCGAUGAUACCCUAAUGGUGUAUCCACUAGGAAGAAAAAUGUGUAUCUGUUCUCAUUACUGUUUGAACCUUUCCUAAUUGGUCCAACUCUAGAAAAUGACUUGUUACUAUCUUGUCUCACUUUUUGUUCCCACGAUGCAUCUCUGAUUUUGAACAUAGCAUGAUUUUCUAACAAGAUACACGUGCUCCCUGCUUAGAUACAUAAACUAGCACAUUCUAUUCAUAUUACUCUAUUUUAAUUUGGACCACUCAUUUUAUUUUAAGGUACAUGGUAUCAAAUACUCCACCUCUUGUCCCAAAUAUCUCUUUCAGUCAUUUCACG
This 753-nucleotide long non-coding RNA is filed under the name Cicer arietinum (chickpea). RNAcentral describes it as "long non-coding RNA (CARI_LNC003418)". The record is from RNAcentral. Lineage: Eukaryota; Viridiplantae; Streptophyta; Magnoliopsida; Fabales; Fabaceae.